RNAcentral lists this ribosomal RNA (261 nucleotides) under uncultured bacterium. Its description in RNAcentral is "partial 16S ribosomal RNA". The record is from RNAcentral.
CUGCUGCCUCCCGUAGGAGUUUGGGCCGUGUCUCAGUCCCAAUGUGGCCGGUCACCCUCUCAGGUCGGCUACUGAUCGUCGCCUUGGUGGGCCGUUACCCCGCCAACCAGCUAAUCAGACGCGGGUCCAUCUCAUACCACCGGAGUUUUUCACACCGGAACAUGUGUCCCCUGUGCGCUUAUGCGGUAUUAGCAGUCAUUUCUAACUGUUACUCCCCCUGUAUGAGGCAGGUUACCCACGCGUUACUCACCCCGUCCGCCA